Molecule: long non-coding RNA, 1097 nt
Filed under: Equus caballus (horse)
Lineage: Eukaryota; Metazoa; Chordata; Mammalia; Perissodactyla; Equidae
Description: lncRNA (ENSECAG00000052608.1)
Source: RNAcentral
GUUCCUAGAUGGAAUCCCAGCGCUGUCAGGGGAGUGGAGAGAGCCACAGGCCACAAGCGCAAAGCAAAAACAAUAAGUCUGAGCCUCCCGUGGAAAUCACAGACCACCUUUCAAGACAGAAAAGGAGGCAUCCUGCUCAGUGUGAUGUCUUGAGAACUAUUCAGAGGUGAAUGUUCAAACGUUCUGUCAAUUCCAAUGAGGAACGAAGAAUAACUUUCCACAAGGUUGCCAAGGAACACCAGAUACCUGAGGAAGGCUUUUAACAUGGAAGAUAACAACCAAAACACAAAGACAAAAACAAAAACAAAAGCAGCUACUUGGAAGAAACAAUUCAAUAAGAAGAAAAAAACUAACAAAUAGUCAGAUAAGAGAAGACAUUGCAUGUAUGAAACAAGAACAGAACGGAAUAAAAAAGAAAAAUUCAGAGAACAAAACGUGCUUGUGGAAAUUAAACACGGGAGAAAUGAAAAACUAAAUAAAGGGUUGGAAGAUUAUGUUGAAGUUAUUUUUAAGACAAGAGAAGAAAAAGACCAACAAAUAGGAAAUUGAACAUGCAAGAUAAGAAAAGUAGAAAACCAACCUAGAAAGUCUAAAAUAUGAAUAAUAGAGACUCUAGAAGGAGAGAAUGGAAAAAUAAUGGGUGAAAUCAUUAACAAAAUAAUUUGAGAAGAAUCCUUCCAGAACUGAAACACAUGAGUUGCCAGAGUGGAAGGCUCCAGUGAAAGUCCAAAAAGGUUGAUCAAAAUAUAUCCAUACCCAGCCUCAUGGUUGUGAAAUAUCAGAACACUAAGGAUAAAAAGAAGAUUUCACAAACUUCCAGAUUAAAAAAACAAGUCAUAUACAAAAGAUCAGGAAUCAAAAUGAUUUGGAUAUAUCUCAACAAAAACACUGGAAACAAGCAGGCAAAACUCUGAAAAGAUAAUAUUUCCAACAUAGAAUUGUAUAACCAAGUAAACUACCAUAUUAAUAUGAGAAUAAAAUAAAGACAUUUUCAUAUAUGCAAGUCCUCAAAAUAUGUACCUUUCACAUACCCUUUAUUAAGAAGCUAGAGGGGGAUGUGCUCUAAAUAAGUGAACAAACCAAAAAAGGAAUACAGG